GGAAAUUUAGGUUCAAAUAAACCAAUAGCCUUCAAAGCUUUUAACAAGGGUUAAAUCUCUUAAUUUCUG
This 69-nucleotide transfer RNA is filed under the name Gymnura poecilura (longtail butterfly ray). Its description in RNAcentral is "tRNA-Trp". It matches the Rfam family "tRNA". Rfam says of the family: Transfer RNA (tRNA) molecules are approximately 80 nucleotides in length. Their secondary structure includes four short double-helical elements and three loops (D, anti-codon, and T loops). The record is from RNAcentral. Lineage: Eukaryota; Metazoa; Chordata; Chondrichthyes; Myliobatiformes; Gymnuridae.